GACGAACGCUGGCGGCGUGCCUAAUACAUGCAAGUUGAGCGCUUAAGGUUGGUUCUUUUACCAACUCAAUGAGCAGCGAACGGGUGAUUAACGCGAGGGUAAUCUGCCUUGGAGCAUGGGAUAACAUUUGGAACCGUAUGCUAAUACCGCAUAUAAACUUUAAACACAAGUUUUAUGUUUGCAAGAUGCAAUUGCUUCACUUAAAUAUGAUCCCGCGUUGUAUUAGCUAAUUGGUGAGGUAAAGGCUCACCAAUGCGGAGAUACAUAGCCGACCUGAUAGGGAGAUAGGCCACAUUGGGACGGGGACACGGGCCAAGCUCCUACGGGAGGCAGCAGUAGGGGAUAUUUGGCAAUGGACGAAAGUCUGACCGAAGAACGCCGCGUGAGUGGAGGAAGGUAUCGGAUCGUAAAACUAGGUUGAUAUAGAAGAACGUUGGUGAGAGUAGAAAGCUCACCAAGUGACGUUAACUACCCAAAAAGGGACGGCUAACUACGUG
RNAcentral lists this ribosomal RNA (497 nucleotides) under uncultured bacterium. Its description in RNAcentral is "partial 16S ribosomal RNA". It matches the Rfam family "Bacterial small subunit ribosomal RNA", at positions 28 to 507 of the family's 1533-position model. The record is from RNAcentral.